ACGAACGCUGGCGGCGUGCCUAAUACAUGCAAGUAGAACGCUGAAGGAGGAGCUUGCUUCUCUGGAUGAGUUGCGAACGGGUGAGUAACGCGUAGGUAACCUGCCUGGUAGCGGGGGAUAACUAUUGGAAACGAUAGCUAAUACCGCAUAAUAGUAGAUGUUGCAUGACAUUUGCUUAAAAGGUGCAAUUGCAUCACUACCAGAUGGACCUGCGUUGUAUUAGCCAGUUGGUGGGGUAACGGCUCACCAAGGCGACGAUACAUAGCCGACCUGAGAAGGUGAUCGGCCACAGUUGGACUGAGACACGGCCCAGACUCCUAGGGGAGGCAGCAGGAGGGAAACUUCGGCAAUGGACGGAAGUCUGACCGAGCAACGACGCGUGAGUGAAGAAGGGUUUCGGAGCGUAGAGCUCUGUUGUGAGAGAAGAACGGGAGUGAGAGUUGAAAGGUCACGCUGUGACGGUAUCUUACCAGAAAGGGACGGCUAACUACGUG
RNAcentral lists this ribosomal RNA (494 nucleotides) under uncultured bacterium. RNAcentral's name for it is "partial 16S ribosomal RNA". It matches the Rfam family "Bacterial small subunit ribosomal RNA", at positions 29 to 507 of the family's 1533-position model. The record is from RNAcentral.